GUCUCUGUAGUAUAUGACAUUACCCCGGUCUUGUAAGCCGAAAAAGGAAGCGACACACCUCCCUGAGACU
Molecule: non-coding RNA, 70 nt
Organism: Vicugna pacos (alpaca)
Lineage: Eukaryota; Metazoa; Chordata; Mammalia; Artiodactyla; Camelidae
Source: Ensembl